CAACUUUCAACAACGGAUCUCUUGGUUCUGGCAUAGAAGAAAAACGCAGCGAAAUGCGAUAAGUAGUGUGAAUUGCAGAAUUCAGUGAAUCAUCGAAUCUUUGAACGCACAUUGCGCCCCUUGGUAUUCCAUGGGGCAUGCUUGUUCGAACGUCAUUU
Molecule: ribosomal RNA, 158 nt
Filed under: Pleosporales sp.
Lineage: Eukaryota; Fungi; Ascomycota; Dothideomycetes; Pleosporales
Description: 5.8S ribosomal RNA
Rfam family: 5.8S ribosomal RNA
About the family: 5.8S ribosomal RNA (5.8S rRNA) is a component of the large subunit of the eukaryotic ribosome. It is transcribed by RNA polymerase I as part of the 45S precursor that also contains 18S and 28S rRNA.
Source: RNAcentral